UUUUUUUUUUUUCUUUGGUGUGUGUGUGUGUGUACUUCGAGGCCUGUGUUGCCUCACCUAUUUAGCUUAGUUCAUAUUUUCAAUAAAUGAAGCGGGCAGCGUGUUAUCUUUUUCUCAAAAUAAAAAAAGAAAAAAUAAUUACUUUAUAUAAAAUUUAAAAUUUUCUUCUUCUUUCUUCUUCUUUUCUUAAACAAAAAAGGACCUAUAAACUUCUA
Molecule: long non-coding RNA, 215 nt
Filed under: Ananas comosus (pineapple)
Lineage: Eukaryota; Viridiplantae; Streptophyta; Magnoliopsida; Poales; Bromeliaceae
Description: long non-coding RNA (ACOM_LNC027418)
Source: RNAcentral